RNAcentral lists this ribosomal RNA (953 nucleotides) under Lactifluus sp. Its description in RNAcentral is "partial large subunit ribosomal RNA". It matches the Rfam family "Eukaryotic large subunit ribosomal RNA", at positions 43 to 973 of the family's 3401-position model. The record is from RNAcentral. Lineage: Eukaryota; Fungi; Basidiomycota; Agaricomycetes; Russulales; Russulaceae.
UUUCUCACAUACGGGGAAAGAACUAACAAGGAUUCCCCUAGUACCUGCGAGUGAAGCGGGAAAAGCUCAAAUUUAAAAUCUAAUGGUCUUUGGCCAUUCGAGUUGUAAUUUAGAGAAGCGUCUUCCGCGCCAGACCAUGUACAAGUCUCCUGGAACGGAGCGUCAUAGAGGGUGAGAAUCCCGUCUUUGACAUGGACCCUCGGUGCUUCUGUGAUGCGCUCUCAAAGAGUCGAGUUGUUUGGGAAUGCAGCUCAAAAUGGGUGGUGAACUCCAUCUAAGGCUAAAUAUUGGCGAGAGACCGAUAGCGAACAAGUACCGUGAGGGAAAGAUGAAAAGCACUUUGGAAAGAGAGUGAAACAGUACGUGAAAUUGUUGAAAGGGAAACACUUGAAGUCAGUCGCGUCGAUCGAGACUCAGCCUUGCCUCGGCUUGGUGUACUUCUCGACUUGACGGGCCAGCAUCAAUUUCGUCCCUCGGAUAAUGGCAAGUGAAAGGUGGCACCUUUUUAAGGUGUGUUAUAGUCUCUUGUCGCAUGCGAGGGGUGGGAUUGAGGAACUCAGCACGCACCUCACGGUGUCGGGGCUUCGGCCCACGUUACGUGCUCAGGAUGCCGGCGUAAUGGCUUUAAAUGACCCGUCUUGAAACACGGACCAAGGAGUCUAACAUGCCUGCGAGUGUUCGGGUGGAAAACCCGUGUGCGUAAUGAAAGUAAAAGUUGGGACCUCUGUCGUGGAGGGCACCGACGCCCGGACCAGACCUUCUGUGACGGAUCUGCGGUAGAGCAUGCAUGUUGGGACCCGAAAGAUGGUGAACUAUGCCUGAAUAGGGUGAAGCCAGAGGAAACUCUGGUGGAGGCUCGUAGCGAUUCUGACGUGCAAAUCGAUCGUCAAAUUUGGGUAUAGGGGCGAAAGACUAAUCGAACCAUCUAGUAGCUGGUCCGCACAAAUUUCUCC